AUUGAACGCUGGCGGCAGGCCUAACACAUGCAAGUCGAACGGUAACAGGAAGAAGCUUGCUUCUUUGCUGACGAGUGGCGGACGGGUGAGUAAUGUCUGGGAAACUGCCUGAUGGAGGGGGAUAACUACUGGAAACGGUAGCUAAUACCGCAUAACGUCGCAAGACCAAAAAGGGGGACCUUCGGGCCUCUUGCCAUCGGAUGUGCCCAGAUGGGAUUAGCUAGUAGGUGGGGUAACGGCUCACCUAGGCGACGAUCCCUAGCUGGUCUGAGAGGAUGACCAGCCACACUGGAACUGAGACACGGUCCAGACUCCUACGGGAGGCAGCAGUGGGGAAUAUUGCACAAUGGGCGCAAACCUGAUGCAGCCAUGCCGCGUGUAUGAAGAAGGCCUUCGGGUUGUAAAGUACUUUCAGCGGGGAGGAAGGGAGUAAAGUUAAUACCUUUGCUCAUUGACGUUACCCGGAGAAGAAGCACCGGCUAACUACGUG
RNAcentral lists this ribosomal RNA (490 nucleotides) under uncultured bacterium. RNAcentral's name for it is "partial 16S ribosomal RNA". It matches the Rfam family "Bacterial small subunit ribosomal RNA", at positions 30 to 507 of the family's 1533-position model. The record is from RNAcentral.